AUGACUCCUAGGAAGAAGCGCAAGAGCGCGCCGCCGGUGUCCGUGGCCGUGAGCGCCACCGACCGCAUCGGCGCGCUCCCCGACAGUCUCCUCCAGCACGUGAUCUCCUUCCUCCCAGCGCAGGAGUCCGUCCGGACGUGCGUGCUCGCCCGGCGCUGGCGCCACCUUUGGAAGUCCACGAGAGCCCUGCGCAUCGUCGGCCUCGACGGCCGGGAGCCUGCCAGCGUCGAGGACCUCCGGGUGUUCGUGGACCAUCUGCUGAUGCUGCGCGAGCGCACCGACCUAGAAAGUGUCGAGAUGAUAUUCCACAGUUGCUCCGAAGGCGAGGUGCCCUAUGUGAGCCUAUGGACCCGUUUCGCCCUCAUGUGCAAAGUUCGGGCGCUAUCCCUCGAAAUCUCACAUGCCUAUUUCUACCAGGACGACCUGCCUCUUGCCUCUCAGUACCUGAAAACGUUGGACCUUUAUGGUCUAGGCCUGCAGAAGGCAUUUCUUGAUUUUUCUGGCUGUCCAGCGUUGGAGGAUCUGAAGAUGAGUGAGUGUAACAUCUCUGUCGAUAGGAUGUCAUCACCUUCCCUGAAGCAUUUGAGCAUCACUGGUUGCCUCUCUGAUUUGCGUGCCCGGCUCCGCAUUUCUACGCCGGGCCUUGUCUCUUUCAAGCUAGAUGACUUUUUCGGUAAAACCCCUUUUCUUGAAAACAUGGCGUUGCUACAGACUGCAUGUGUGAAUCUUGGCAAAAGCUUCAGCGAUGUCUGUAUGAAUUAUAACUCCGGUGUCUUCUGUGGAGAUAAUAAGAACGGAUGUGUCAAUUGUAUUUCACAUAACGAUGGCAGCAGCGAUUGCAUGCUUCUGGGUGGGAUCUCAAGUGCUAAACAUCUUGAACUGACAUCUGAAUCGAGCAAGCUCAUUUUCACAAGAGAUUUGAAAUGCUGCCCUACAUUUAGUAAGUUAAAGACUUUAUUACUCAACGAAUACUGGUGCGAGGCUCCAGACUUGGAUCCACUAGCUUGCAUUCUGAAAAAAACACCAGUUCUAGAGAAGCUCACUCUUCAACUUUAUUUAAAGGGACCAACUCAUAAAGUGGAAAUAAAAGGAAGCUACAGUCCAAUGGAGGGACCAUCUACAAUAUCAGAGCACCUUAACAUAGUUGAAGUCAAGUGUAAUGUGGUCGACGAGAAGAUUCUCAAAGUCUUGAAGUUCUUAUCUGCAUUUAACAUACGAUUUGGUUUUUUGUAA
Molecule: ribosomal RNA, 1233 nt
Filed under: Triticum aestivum (bread wheat)
Lineage: Eukaryota; Viridiplantae; Streptophyta; Magnoliopsida; Poales; Poaceae
Description: partial small subunit ribosomal RNA
Source: RNAcentral